AUAUCUCUCUGUACGGGAAGGAUGAGAAGCUUCGACUAAGGUUCGAUUCGAGCGCAGCGAGAAAGCGUUGCCGCAGGCAACGACCCGAAGGGCGAAGCGCGCAGCGCUGAGUAAUCCUUCCCCCAGCACCA
RNAcentral lists this small RNA (131 nucleotides) under Salmonella enterica. Its description in RNAcentral is "RtT sRNA". It matches the Rfam family "RtT RNA". From Rfam's summary of the family: This family represents a bacterial cis-regulatory element known as RtT RNA. The exact function of RtT is unknown although it is thought that it may be involved in changing the cellular response in relation to amino acid starvation. The record is from RNAcentral. Lineage: Bacteria; Pseudomonadati; Pseudomonadota; Gammaproteobacteria; Enterobacterales; Enterobacteriaceae.